CCUACGGGAGGCAGCAGUGGGGAAUAUUGCACAAUGGGCGCAAGCCUGAUGCAGCGACGCCGCGUGGGGGAUGAAGGCCUUCGGGUUGUAAACCCCUUUCAGCAGGGAAGAAGCGAAAGUGACGGUACCUGCAGAAGAAGCGCCGGCUAACUACGUGCCAGCAGCCGCGGUAAU
Molecule: ribosomal RNA, 174 nt
Filed under: uncultured bacterium
Lineage: Bacteria
Description: partial 16S ribosomal RNA
Rfam family: Bacterial small subunit ribosomal RNA
Source: RNAcentral